CCUACGGGAGGCAGCAGUGGGGGAUAUUGCACAAUGGGGGAAACCCUGAUGCAGCGACGCCGCGUGUGGGAAGACGGUCCUCUGGAUUGUAAACCACUGUCCCCAGGGACGAAGAUGACGGUACCUGGGGAGGAAGCUCCUACUAACUACGUGCCAGCAGCCGCGGUAAUACGUAGGGAGCGAGCGUUUUCCGGAUUUACUGGGUUUAAAGGGAGCGUAGGCGGGACUGCAAGUUGGGUGUCAAAUCUACCGGCGCAACCGGUAGCCGCACUCAAAACUGCAGUUCUUGAGUGAAGGAGAGGCAGGCGGAAUGCCUGGUGUAGCGGUGAAAUGCGUAGAUAUUAGGAGGAACACCAGUGGCGAAGGCGGCCUGCUGGGCUUUUACUGACGCUGAGGCUCGAAAGUGUGGGGAGCGAACAGGAUUAGAUACCCGUGUAGUC
RNAcentral lists this ribosomal RNA (440 nucleotides) under uncultured bacterium. Its description in RNAcentral is "partial 16S ribosomal RNA". It matches the Rfam family "Bacterial small subunit ribosomal RNA", at positions 338 to 795 of the family's 1533-position model. The record is from RNAcentral.